CCAUGCAUGUCUAAGUAUAAGCACUCAUACUGUGAAACUGCGAAUGGCUCAUUCCAUCAGUUAUCGUUUAUUUGAUAGUACCUUUACCUGGAUAACCGUGGUAAUUCUAGAGCUAAUACAUGCUAAAAAUCCCGACUUCGGAAGGGAUGUAUUUAUUAGAUAAAAAACCAAUGCCCUUCGGGGCUCCUUGGUGAUUCAUAAUAACUUAACGAAUCGCAUGGCCUUGCGCUGGCGAUGGUUCAUUCAAAUUUCUGCCCUAUCAACUUUCGAUGGUAGGAUAGUGGCCUACCAUGGUCUCAACGGGUAACGGGGAAUUAGGGUUCUAUUCCGGAGAGGGAGCCUGAGAAACGGCUACCACAUCCAAGGAAGGCAGCAGGCGCGCAAAUUACCCAAUCCCAAUUCGGGGAGGUAGUGACAAUAAAUACUGAUACAGGGCUCUUUUGGGUCUUGUAAUUGGAAUGAGUACAAUCUAAAUCCCUUAACGAGGAACAAUUGGAGGGCAAGUCUGGUGCCAGCAGCCGCGGUAAUUCCAGCUCCAAUAGCGUAUAUUAAAGUUGUUGCCGUUAAAAAGCUCGUAGUUGAACCUUGGGUCUGGCUGAUCUGUCCUCCUAAUCGAGCGCACGGAUUCGGUCGGACCUUUCCUUCUGGGGAGCUGCAUGCCCUUCACUGGGCGUGUCGGGGAACCAGAACUUUUACCUUGAAAAAAUUAGAGUGUUCACAGCAGGCCUUUGCUCGAAUACAUUAGCCUGGAAUAAUAGAAUAGGACAGAGGUUCUAUUUUGUUGGUUUCUAGGCCCGCUGUAAUGAUUAAUAGGGAUAGUCGGGGGCGUCCGUAUUCAAUUGUCAGAGGUGAAAUUCUUGGCUUUAUUGAAGACGAACUACUGCGAACGCAUUCGCCAAGGAUGUUUUCAUUCCUCAGUGAACGAAAGUUAGGGGAUCGAAGACGAUCAGAUACCGUCGUAGUCUUAACCAUAAACUAUGCCGACUAGGGAUCGGACGGU
RNAcentral lists this ribosomal RNA (1000 nucleotides) under Chaetothyriales sp. CR08/2-2. RNAcentral describes it as "SSU rRNA". It matches the Rfam family "Eukaryotic small subunit ribosomal RNA", at positions 49 to 1061 of the family's 1831-position model. The record is from RNAcentral. Lineage: Eukaryota; Fungi; Ascomycota; Eurotiomycetes; Chaetothyriales.